GUUUUUUUUUCAAAUAAAGAGUCAGAAAUGUUUGGUUAGUGGCUCUUGGAGUGAGCAUCUACAUCUACAUCUGCAGUAGAACCAUAUUUACUUGGUUGACAAUAAAAGAGUGACUGUCAAGUAAAAAGGAUUUAGAGAUAUUAACUACUGACUUACUGCAUACGAGUAACAAUGUAAUUCAGUGAUGCCAAAACUAUGGCCUGCGGGACAUAUCCAUCCCAUGAUGCUGUUCUAUUCAGCUCUAAUAAACUUCUGUCCACAGUGCACAAUGAAGCCUCAGAGAAUUGGAUUGGAAUCGGUAAAUUUUGGCAGUAAUCAGAAAUUUCUUUGACCUCCAGGAUAAACAAAGGUUGGGCACCAUUGACCUAGUUGUUUACUCAUGCGUUGAAGUGUAACAAAGUAAUUCUACUGCAAUAGUCAACAAAGUAGUUUCACAAAAAGAGUCAACAAAGUAAUUCCACU
Non-coding RNA from Biomphalaria pfeifferi, 462 nucleotides. Lineage: Eukaryota; Metazoa; Mollusca; Gastropoda; Planorbidae. The record is from the annotation of a GenBank genome assembly.